GAUGAACGCUGGCGGCGUGCCUAAUACAUGCAAGUCGAGCGAACAGACGAGGAGCUUGCUCCUCUGACGUUAGCGGCGGACGGGUGAGUAACACGUGGAUAACCUACCUAUAAGACUGGGAUAACUUCGGGAAACCGGAGCUAAUACCGGAUAAUAUAUUGAACCGCAUGGUUCAUUAGUGAAAGACGGUUUUGCUGUCACUUAUAGAUGGAUCCGCGCCGCAUUAGCUAGUUGGUAAGGUAACGGCUUACCAAGGCAACGAUGCGUAGCCGACCUGAGAGGGUGAUCGGCCACACUGGAACUGAGACACGGUCCAGACUCCUACGGGAGGCAGCAGUAGGGAAUCUUCCGCAAUGGGCGAAAGCUUGACGGAGCAACGCCGCGUGAGUGAUGAAGGUCUUCGGAUCGUAAAACUCUGUUAUUAGGGAAGAACAAAUGUGUAAGUAACUAUGCACGUCUUGACGGUACCUAAACAGAAAGCCACGGCUAACUACGUG
This 497-nucleotide ribosomal RNA is filed under the name uncultured bacterium. RNAcentral's name for it is "partial 16S ribosomal RNA". It matches the Rfam family "Bacterial small subunit ribosomal RNA", at positions 28 to 507 of the family's 1533-position model. The record is from RNAcentral.